UACGUAGGGUGCGAGCGUUAAUCGGAAUUACUGGGCGUAAAGCGCACGUAGGCGGACUCUUAAGUCGGGGGUGAAAGCCCAGGGCUCAACCCUGGAACUGCCUUCGAUACUGGGAGUCUUGAGUGUGGAAGAGGUUGGUGGAACUGCGAGUGUAGAGGUGAAAUUCGUAGAUAUUCGCAAGAACACCAGUGGCGAAGGCGGCUCACUGGCCCGAUACUGACGCUGAGGAGCGAAAGCCAGGGGAGCAAACGGG
Molecule: ribosomal RNA, 253 nt
Filed under: uncultured bacterium
Lineage: Bacteria
Description: partial 16S ribosomal RNA
Rfam family: Bacterial small subunit ribosomal RNA
Source: RNAcentral